RNAcentral lists this long non-coding RNA (1376 nucleotides) under Nicotiana tabacum (common tobacco). RNAcentral's name for it is "long non-coding RNA (NTAB_LNC008583)". The record is from RNAcentral. Lineage: Eukaryota; Viridiplantae; Streptophyta; Magnoliopsida; Solanales; Solanaceae.
CGAGCUUGAAAUGUGAGCAUCAAUAGUCCCUGUUCCAAUAGUUUUGAUUAUUAACAAUUCAUGUGACAUGGCGUCCUGCUAUGUUAUCAUCUUCUGAGUGGUUAUCUUUCAUGUCUCCGAAAGGAGAAAGGCUAUGUGUCGUGUUUUCUUUACCAUGCUAACUAAGAACUAAAGAAGCAGAAUGUUUGUCAUCGUGUUAGGAAGCAUAGGUACUUCCUUUUAAGAACCAUACAGUUGUCCCUGCAAAACUAUUAUGUCCAUACACAAAGCCCAUCUUUUUCUGGGUCAGAGAAAAGCCAUGGACAGUUCUUUAUAGAAGUCUUGAUCACUUGAGAAUUUUAUCUGGUGAAGUCGGAUGAAACGGACUUUGGUCAGGUGCUCAAUACCUAUCUUAAGUUGUGCUUUUUGUUACUGUAUUUCUGUAUAUUGAGCAGCUCAUUAUUUGAGCUUUCAUUAUUUCUCCAUGAAAGCUAAAGCAACAAUUUAUUACCAGUAUGUCUUUUUCAUUUUAAAAUAACCUGAAAAUGAGCUGCACCGAUUUAUGUACCAUAGGUCAUCAACGGGGUGAUUGUGCUGGGUCCCAUUUUUCUCAUUCCUGAUAUCUAAUUGGACAGAACGAACUCAAGACAUGUGAAGUUUGAUGUACAAACAUUUGUUCUUCUAUAAAUAAUCUUUGUUUCUACUAUGCUACUGACCCACAGGUUAUUAAAUGGCAUGAAUAGAAAUAUACAUGAUGUGGGGUAAGUAAAGUAAUGAAGUGAGUCUUAUGCUUGCUACUAUUGUUAGUGUGUGUUUGCUAGUAUUCUUAGUGUAUUCAUGACAAUAAUAUGAGUGUGGCAUUACUGAUUCUUCCACAGACGACCUCAUAUAUCCUUAUAACACUAUCUUAUGGACUAGCUGGUAAUUGCAUUGAAUUCUGCUAUCUCAAAUGCAGACCUAAAAGAGCUGACUGUUUUUCUCAUAUUGCUGCAAUGGUAAGACGAUGCACGCCUGCUAAUGAUAUCCUAUUCCUUUUGUCCAGUUUCCUGUGAUUGUUAUUAAGGUCCAGAUUGGCAGGUGUAGGAAGGUGUACUCUAUCUACAUAUGCUUUUGGAUAGUAGCAGACUAUACAAUGCUAGGAAAACAUUGAUCUCAAAGAGAUUCAACAAGUGUUAUGUGGUUAGUGCAUGUUAUUGAACAAAUGAUAAUCUCAAAGACACAGAUUACUUACCAUAAAUUCAAUUGCUGCACUAAUCAGAUAGAUGUAAUAGGUGGUGAGGCAAGCAUCAGAUGAAAACCCGCCAAGUAGAGCGAGAAGGAAGGAAGUUCCCAUAAAGUUGGUAACUAUGUUGGCUGAAGCAGAUGGAGAAAAAUUCAUAUUUUUUGAUAGAUAAAGG